GCGGGAGCGCGCAGCAGAGGAAAAAAGGAGUGCAGCGAACGUGAAUGUGGAUGGUUGUGUGAACACAGACUGAUUGACUGCUCGGUUGACAGACAAAGUUGCGUGCGUCUAUGGGAAAAACCACGCUUAAGUGAGUCCCAUGUUCUGAACUGUUGCAAUUCCGAAUAAAUCCUUGAAAGA
Long non-coding RNA from Notolabrus celidotus (New Zealand spotty), 180 nucleotides. RefSeq lists it as uncharacterized. The transcript has 2 exons. The record is from RefSeq and is a predicted model, not a curated record. NCBI's taxonomy places the organism in Eukaryota, Metazoa, Chordata, Actinopteri, Labriformes, Labridae.